This 464-nucleotide ribosomal RNA is filed under the name uncultured bacterium. RNAcentral describes it as "partial 16S ribosomal RNA". It matches the Rfam family "Bacterial small subunit ribosomal RNA", at positions 28 to 507 of the family's 1533-position model. The record is from RNAcentral.
AUUGAACGCUGGCGGCAUGCUUUACACAUGCAAGUCGAACGGCAGCGCGGGCUUCGGCCUGGCGGCGAGUGGCGAACGGGUGAGUAAUGCAUCGGAACGUGCCCAGUAGUGGGGGAUAGCCCGGCGAAAGCCGGAUUAAUACCGCAUACGACCUGAGGGUGAAAGCGGGGGACCGAAAGGCCUCGCGCUAUUGGAGCGGCCGAUGUCGGAUUAGCUAGUUGGUGGGGUAAAGGCUUACCAAGGCGACGAUCCGUAGCUGGUCUGAGAGGACGACCAGCCACACUGGGACUGAGACACGGCCCAGACUCCUACGGGAGGCAGCAGUGGGGAAUUUUGGACAAUGGGGGCAACCCUGAUCCAGCCAUGCCGCGUGCGGGAUGACGGCCUUCGGGUUGUAAACCGCUUUCGCCUGUGACGAAGCGUGAGUGACGGUAAUGGGUAAAGAAGCACCGGCUAACUACGUG